RNAcentral lists this ribosomal RNA (253 nucleotides) under uncultured bacterium. RNAcentral's name for it is "partial 16S ribosomal RNA". It matches the Rfam family "Bacterial small subunit ribosomal RNA", at positions 524 to 776 of the family's 1533-position model. The record is from RNAcentral.
GACGUAGGGCGCGAGCGUUGUCCGGAUUUAUUGGGCGUAAAGAGCUCGUAGGCGGCUUGUUGCGUCGACUGUGAAAACCCGCGGCUUAACUGCGGGCUUGCAGUUGAUACGGGCAGGCUAGAGUUCGGUAGGGGAGAGUGGAAUUCCUGGUGUAGCGGUGAAAUGCGCAGAUAUCAGGAGGAACACCGGUGGCGAAGGCGGGUCUCUGGGCCGAUACUGACGCUGAGGAGCGAAAGCAUGGGUAGCGAACAGG